AUCAGGUUAGCAGAAAUUUAAUGCGUUUGUUUUAGGAUCAGAAGGUUAUACUGGUGUAUACCUGAUA
Molecule: transfer RNA, 67 nt
Filed under: Cultellus attenuatus
Lineage: Eukaryota; Metazoa; Mollusca; Bivalvia; Adapedonta; Cultellidae
Description: tRNA-Leu
Source: RNAcentral